GAGCUCACUUUGGCCCCACAUAUACUAAAAUUGGAAUGGUACAGAGAAGACUAGAAUGGUUCUUGCACAAGGAUUACAUGCAAAACAGGUGACUAGGGGCUGGGGAGU
Molecule: small nuclear RNA, 108 nt
Filed under: Octodon degus (degu)
Lineage: Eukaryota; Metazoa; Chordata; Mammalia; Rodentia; Octodontidae
Source: RNAcentral